Molecule: long non-coding RNA, 293 nt
Organism: Penaeus chinensis
Lineage: Eukaryota; Metazoa; Arthropoda; Malacostraca; Decapoda; Penaeidae
Exons: 3
Source: RefSeq, a predicted model, not a curated record
CCCACCUCCAGAGACCUGCAGGAGCUGUUGUUGGACGACCCUGCGUCCUAUGACCCGGCCAACUGGGUCAUUUGGGCAAAAGGAUCGCAGAUCGAGGAGACGUUGGAUUCUGACCCAGCGAUGGCUGUAGGAAAUGACAGGAUCAGCGGCCUGGAUCUCGAAGCGACCAUUGGCACAACGGACGAUGGUGAUAACGACUUUAUGGGAGUUGUUUUCAGUUUUCAGAGUUACUCCGGGUUCUAUGUGGUGACGUGGAAGCAGGAGGGUGAAUCCUACAGUUCAGGCGGCUACAG